This is a long non-coding RNA of Callithrix jacchus (white-tufted-ear marmoset), 369 nucleotides long. RefSeq lists it as uncharacterized. Lineage: Eukaryota; Metazoa; Chordata; Mammalia; Primates; Cebidae. The record is from RefSeq and is a predicted model, not a curated record.
UUACAGGCAACAUGCUGUUAGCAACGUAUAUGUGACUGGCAUACAGCAAAGCAGACCUGUGGCCUGAUCUCUGUACUGAUUCACAUGUGAAGACAAACAGCUGCAUAUUUACAUUAUGAUACGCACUGAUGUGACUGCAAGGGCUUCUCACCUAGAUGCAUAGCAGACUGGCCCAUGGGAAUUUCCAAAAAACAGUUGUUAUACAUAAAAGCGCCUCUUCUCUACAUCAUGCCAUCUACAUAUUGACAGGGUCCUGCUCUGUUGCCCAGACUAAAAUGCAGUGGCCCAAUUAUCACUCACUGCAGCCUUGACCUCCUGGGCUCAACCAAUCCUCCUGCCUCAGCUUCCUGAGUAGCUGGGACUACAGGC